RNAcentral lists this ribosomal RNA (450 nucleotides) under uncultured Glomeromycotina. Its description in RNAcentral is "SSU rRNA". It matches the Rfam family "Eukaryotic small subunit ribosomal RNA", at positions 569 to 1023 of the family's 1831-position model. Lineage: Eukaryota; Fungi; Glomeromycota. The record is from RNAcentral.
AGCAGCCGCGGUAAUUCCAGCUCCAAUAGCGUAUAUUAAAGUUGUUGCAGUUAAAAAGCUCGUAGUUGAAUUUCGGGAUCAAUUUGCUGGUCGUGCCUUUGGUACGCACUGGUAUUAUUGGUUUCUCCUUUCUGAUGAAUCGCGAUGUCAUUAAUUUGGCGUCGUGGGGAAUCAGGACCGUUACUUUGAAAAAAUUAGAGUGUUUAAAGCAGGCUCACGCUUGAAUACAUUAGCAUGGAAUAAUGAAAUAGGACGUUUGAUUCUAUUUUGUUGGUUUCUAGGAUCGACGUAAUGAUUAAUAGGGAUAGUUGGGGGCAUUAGUAUUCAAUUGUCAGAGGUGAAAUUCUUGGAUUUAUUGAAGACUAACUACUGCGAAAGCAUUUGCCAAGGAUGUUUUCAUUAAUCAAGAACGAAAGUUAGGGGAUCGAAGACGAUCAGAUACCGUCGUAG